GUGCCAGCCGCCGCGGUAAUACAGAGGGUGCAAGCGUUGUUCGGAUUUACUGGGCGUAAAGCGUACGCAGACGGCUUGGUAGGUCGGAUGUGAAAGCCCCGGGCUCAACCCGGGAAUUGCAUCCGAAACCACCUCGCUCGAGUGUGGGAGAGGGAAGCGGAAUUCCUGGUGUAGAGGUGAAAUUCGUAGAUAUCAGGAGGAACACCGGCGGCGAAGGCGGCUUCCUGGCCCAUUACUGACGUUCAGGUACGAAAGCGUGGGUAGCAAACAGGAUUAGAAACCCGCGUAGUCC
RNAcentral lists this ribosomal RNA (292 nucleotides) under uncultured bacterium. Its description in RNAcentral is "partial 16S ribosomal RNA". It matches the Rfam family "Bacterial small subunit ribosomal RNA", at positions 505 to 796 of the family's 1533-position model. The record is from RNAcentral.